This 22-nucleotide microRNA is filed under the name Ananas comosus (pineapple). RNAcentral's name for it is "microRNA s0850_c115a". The record is from RNAcentral. Lineage: Eukaryota; Viridiplantae; Streptophyta; Magnoliopsida; Poales; Bromeliaceae.
CUCAAGACCAAGACAUUGGAUC